Molecule: ribosomal RNA, 253 nt
Filed under: uncultured bacterium
Lineage: Bacteria
Description: partial 16S ribosomal RNA
Rfam family: Bacterial small subunit ribosomal RNA
Source: RNAcentral
UACGAAGGGGGCAAGCGUUGCUCGGAUUUACUGGGCGUAAAGGGUGGGCAGGCGGCCGUGUCAGAUGGGUGUGAAAUCUCCCGGCUCAACCGGGAGGGGCCACUCGUGACUGCACGGCUGGAGGGCAGCAGAGGCGCGUGGAAUUCCGGGUGGAGUGGUGAAAUGCGUAGAGAUCCGGAGGAACACCAGAGGCGAAGGCGGCGCGCUGGGCUGCACCUGACGCUGAACCACGAAAGCCAGGGUAGCGAACGGG